Penaeus chinensis is the source of this 586-nucleotide long non-coding RNA. RefSeq lists it as uncharacterized. The record is from RefSeq and is a predicted model, not a curated record. NCBI's taxonomy places the organism in Eukaryota, Metazoa, Arthropoda, Malacostraca, Decapoda, Penaeidae. The transcript has 3 exons.
CGGUGGCCGUCUUGGAUCACUCAGUUCUUCGGAAGUUUAUGAAAAAAAUCGGGGAUUGCGCUGUUUUUACCCCAAAAUAUUAUCCUUUCUUUGUAAUUUGUGCCUCGAAUGAUAAAAAGGAGAAUCCACUGGACACAAAAGGUGCUAGACAUUCAGAUAAGGCUGUGAACGUUUGACAGGUGAACUCUUUGAGACUUUUGAACAGUGUGGGUAUACUGAGUGGAGCUAUGGCCAUCUCGAGAAAAAAGCCAACAUAGUAUUAUAAAGCCAGAAGGUUACAGAUCACUGGAAAAGAGAGAAGCUUUUCGUAUCCUGCAAAACACAGGCAGCUCUGUGAGUGUUCAGAGCGACAGAAAUCCACGUAGAUUUAGUGGGAAGACAUCACCCUAAAGAUGAGCGCUCAACUCCUUCAUCCCGGUGUUGAAGCUUCGAAGAUGCUGGAGGCAGCUUUGCAGCAAAUGGAUGGAAUUAUAGCAGGAACUCAGUUAGAGCUAGCAAGUCUCCCAGACCGGAGUGUCUCUCCAGUCGCCACGAUAUCAGAGUUAGCGGAUAAGCUGCGGCUCGCACUGCAAAGCUCGCAGGUAUG